Molecule: ribosomal RNA, 253 nt
Filed under: uncultured bacterium
Lineage: Bacteria
Description: partial 16S ribosomal RNA
Rfam family: Bacterial small subunit ribosomal RNA
Source: RNAcentral
UACGAAGGGUGCAAACGUUGCUCGGAAUCAUUGGGCGUAAAGCGCACGUAGGCGGCCUCGCAAGUCUGAUGUGAAAUCCCUCGGCUCAACCGAGGACGUGCAUCGGAAACUGCGGGGCUUGAGUACUGAAGAGGAUCGCGGAAUUCCCGGUGUAGAGGUGAAAUUCGUAGAUAUCGGGAGGAACACCAGUGGCGAAGGCGGCGAUCUGGGCAGAUACUGACGCUGAGGUGCGAAAGCGUGGGGAGCAAACAGG